RNAcentral lists this ribosomal RNA (466 nucleotides) under uncultured bacterium. RNAcentral's name for it is "bacterial SSU rRNA". It matches the Rfam family "Bacterial small subunit ribosomal RNA", at positions 338 to 795 of the family's 1533-position model. The record is from RNAcentral.
CCUANGGGGGGCUGCAGUCGAGAAUCUUUCGCAAUGGGGGAAACCCUGACGACGCGACGCCGCGUGGAGGAUGAAGGCCUUCGGGUUGUAAACUCCUGUCAGCAGGGGAGAACAAGCUUUUGGUGAAUAACUGAGAGCUUUGACAGUACCUGCAGAGGAAGCCACGGCUAACUCUGUGCCAGCAGCCGCGGUAAUACAGAGGUGGCAAGCGUUGUUCGGAUUUAUUGGGCGUAAAGGGUCCGUAGGCGGCCUGAAAAGUCGGAUGUGAAAUCCCACAGCUUAACUGUGGAACUGCAUUCGAAACUUCUAGGCUCGAGUGUGAUAGGGGUAAAGGGAAUUCCCGGUGUAAGGGUGAAAUCUGCAGAGAUCGGGAGGAACACCAGUCGCGAAGGCGCUUUACUGGAUCACUACUGACGCUGAGGGACGAAAGCCAGGGGAGCAAACGGGAUUAGAUACCCCGNUANUC